CGCCUAGAGUGGCGGAAGGGCGAGGAACGCGUGAGCGACCUGCCCUCGCGGCGGGGACAACCCGGGGAAACCCGGGCUAAUACCCGGUGACACGGCUUCGGGGCAUCCCGGGGCCGUCAAAGUCGGAGCAAUCCGGCCCGCGGGGAGGGGCUCGCGUACCAUCAGCUUGUUGGCGGGGUAACGGCCCACCAAGGCUUACGGUUAGCUGGUCUGAGAGGACGACCAGCCGCAUUGGGACUGAGACACUGCCCAAACUCCUACGGGAGGCUGCAGUCGAGGAUCAUUCGCAAUGGACGAAAGUCUGACGGUGCGACGCUGCGUGGAGGAUGAAGGCCUUCGGGUCGUAAACUCCUGUCAUGACGGAAGAGGCGGAGGGGCGGCAAUGCCCCCGAGUUGACGGUACGUCAAGAGGAAGCCACGGCUAACUCUGUGCCAGCAGCCGCGGUAAUACAGAGGUGGCGAGCGUUGUUCGGAUUUACUGGGCGUAAAGGGCGCGUAGGCGGCCCUGCAAGUCGCGUGUGAAAUCCCCGGGCCCAACCCGGGAAGUGCGCGCGAUACUGCCGGGCUCGAGUGCGGGAUGGGGAGACGGAAUGCAGGGUGUAGCGGUGAAAUGCGUUGAUAUCCUGCAGAACACCGGAAGCGAAGGCGGUCUCCUGGAACGCAACUGACGCUCAGGCGCGAAAGCCGGGGGAGCAAACAGGAUUAGAUACCCUGGUAGUCCCGGCCCUAAACGGUGCGCACUAGGGGUGGGGGGAUUUCUACCCCCCCCGUCCCCAAGCUAACGCGUUAAGUGCGCCGCCUGGGGAGUACGGCCGCAAGGCUAAAACUCAAAGAAAUUGACGGGGGCCCGCACAAGCAGAGGAGCAUGUGGCUUAAUUCGAUGCAACGCGAAGAACCUUACCCAGGCUUGACAUGCAGCUGCACGGCCUAUGAAAGUAGCUCUC
Molecule: ribosomal RNA, 944 nt
Filed under: uncultured bacterium
Lineage: Bacteria
Description: bacterial SSU rRNA
Rfam family: Bacterial small subunit ribosomal RNA
Source: RNAcentral